Sus scrofa (pig) is the source of this 727-nucleotide long non-coding RNA. RefSeq lists it as uncharacterized. Lineage: Eukaryota; Metazoa; Chordata; Mammalia; Artiodactyla; Suidae. The record is from RefSeq and is a predicted model, not a curated record.
GCAGCUGCUCAGAGAAGAAACGAUUCCAAGAGAAUCUCUGAUAAAGAUCUGCAGGCUGUCACUUUAUCUGCAAGGUUCCCUUUCCACAGCAACUCCACCCUCAAUGAUUUCAUAGGAGACAGGAGACGGAAGUGGGGAGCCUUUGCCUACCGCUUUAAAGAAAGUGACAGAUCAACUCAGUGGUCUCAUAGGGUUUCCGGAAGCUUGGCCAGCAAACGAUAUGCAGGAAUCACCAAGGAUUCCUUUCCUAACCCUAGUGGGGAAUAAAGCAUCAUGGAAUCCGAUGGACACAGCUUCCAAUUCUGACUCCACCGGCUGUGCCGGCUGCCUGACCUUGGGCAAACGCCACAGUUGCUCAAGACCUCAUCUCAUCGGCAGGAUAAGAAUCAUGUCAAGAAUCAGUGACAGGGUUCUGAUUCUGACUCCACCUCUUACCUGCUCUCCCGAUUUCUGUCUGCCUGAGGCCGAGUGUCCUCACCUGUGAAAUGGUGAGCAGGAAUCCAGGUAGGCCUGGGGGACCCCCAGACCUGAUCACUCACAGCAGCCUUUCACCAGCAGUGAAACCAAUGGUACCUUGGUUGUUGGCUUGCUCCAGAACAAGGCCGCAUGAUAUCGUGGGGAAAACCUGAAGACUGCUCCAUCACACAGGGCUUUUUAGUUGCAAGAAAUAGAAACUCCUUCUGACUCAUUGGAUCCUAAAUAGAAUUUUCUUUUUCUUUUUUUUUUU